This 82-nucleotide transfer RNA is filed under the name Candidatus Aenigmatarchaeota archaeon. RNAcentral's name for it is "tRNA-Cys". It matches the Rfam family "tRNA". Rfam says of the family: Transfer RNA (tRNA) molecules are approximately 80 nucleotides in length. Their secondary structure includes four short double-helical elements and three loops (D, anti-codon, and T loops). The record is from RNAcentral. Lineage: Archaea; Nanobdellati; Candidatus Aenigmatarchaeota.
GCGGAGGUAACCAAACGGCUAGUGCGUUUGGCGGUGGCCGGCUGCAGACCGGCAUAAGGGGGUUCGACUCCCUCCCUCCGCU